GACGAACGCUGGCGGCGUGCUUAACACAUGCAAGUCGAACGGAAAGGCCCUGCUUUUGUGGGGUGCUCGAGUGGCGAACGGGUGAGUAACACGUGAGUAACCUGCCCUUGACUUUGGGAUAACUUCAGGAAGCUGGGGCUAAUACCGGAUAGGAGCUCCUGCUGCAUGGUGGGGGUUGGAAAGUUUCGGCGGUUGGGGAUGGACUCGCGGCUUAUCAGCUUGUUGGUGGGGUAGUGGCUUACCAAGGCUUUGACGGGUAGCCGGCCUGAGAGGGUGACCGGCCACAUUGGGACUGAGAUACGGCCCAGACUCCUACAGGAGGCAGCAGUGGGGAAUAUUGCACAAUGGGCGGAAGCCUGAUGCAGCAACGCCGCGUGCGGGAUGACGGCCUUCGGGUUGUAAACCGCUUUCGCCUGUGACGAAGCGUGAGUGACGGUAAUGGGUAAAGAAGCACCGGCUAACUACGUG
This 468-nucleotide ribosomal RNA is filed under the name uncultured bacterium. RNAcentral's name for it is "partial 16S ribosomal RNA". It matches the Rfam family "Bacterial small subunit ribosomal RNA", at positions 28 to 507 of the family's 1533-position model. The record is from RNAcentral.